GCGGCCGUGGCGGAAUGGCAGACGCGCAACACUUAGGAUGUUGUGGACGGAAGUCCAUGUGGGUUCGAAUCCCACCGGCCGUACCA
Molecule: transfer RNA, 86 nt
Filed under: Streptomyces chilikensis
Lineage: Bacteria; Bacillati; Actinomycetota; Actinomycetes; Kitasatosporales; Streptomycetaceae
Also listed under: 2 other names
Description: tRNA-Leu
Rfam family: tRNA
About the family: Transfer RNA (tRNA) molecules are approximately 80 nucleotides in length. Their secondary structure includes four short double-helical elements and three loops (D, anti-codon, and T loops).
Source: RNAcentral